RNAcentral lists this ribosomal RNA (398 nucleotides) under Scolelepis sp. GF-23010_17896. RNAcentral's name for it is "partial large subunit ribosomal RNA". It matches the Rfam family "Bacterial large subunit ribosomal RNA", at positions 1925 to 2537 of the family's 2925-position model. The record is from RNAcentral. Lineage: Eukaryota; Metazoa; Annelida; Polychaeta; Spionida; Spionidae.
ACCUUUGCACGGUCAGGAUACAGUGCUAAGGUAGCAUAAUCAUUUGCCUCUUAAUUAGAGGCUUGUAUGAAGGAAUAAACGUGGGUAUAGCUGUUUCACUUUUUUUAAUAAAAAUUAUUUUUCAGGUGAAGAAACCUGAAUUAUUUAAAAAGACAAAAAGACCCUAUGGAGCUUUAUUUAUUAAAAGUACAUUUUAAGAAAACUUAUUUUUCCUACUUUUAUUAAAUUUUGUUGGGGCGACAAAAGAAGAUCUAAAUCUUCUUUAAAUCAAUUAGAAUACACUUCAUUUAUUUUGAUCCAUUUUAUAUGAUUAACGAAGUUAGCUACCCUAGGGAUAACAGGCUAAUUUUCUUUGAGAGCCCAAAUUGACAAGAAAGAUUGGCACCUCGAUGUUGGCU